This 72-nucleotide transfer RNA is filed under the name Aedes aegypti (yellow fever mosquito). It matches the Rfam family "tRNA". Rfam says of the family: Transfer RNA (tRNA) molecules are approximately 80 nucleotides in length. Their secondary structure includes four short double-helical elements and three loops (D, anti-codon, and T loops). Further hydrogen bonds mediate the characteristic L-shaped molecular structure. tRNAs have two regions of fundamental functional importance: the anti-codon, which is responsible for specific mRNA codon recognition, and the 3' end, to which the tRNAs corresponding amino acid is attached (by aminoacyl-tRNA synthetases). tRNAs cope with the degeneracy of the genetic code in two manners: having more than one tRNA (with a specific anti-codon) for a particular amino acid; and 'wobble' base-pairing, i.e. permitting non-standard base-pairing at the 3rd anti-codon position. The record is from Rfam by way of RNAcentral. Lineage: Eukaryota; Metazoa; Arthropoda; Insecta; Diptera; Culicidae.
GGCUCGGUAGCUUAGUUGGUAGAGCGCUCGUCUAGCAUACAAGAGUCCUGGGUUCAAAUCCCAGCCGAGCCC